Molecule: RNA transcript, 1621 nt
Organism: Ziziphus jujuba (common jujube)
Lineage: Eukaryota; Viridiplantae; Streptophyta; Magnoliopsida; Rosales; Rhamnaceae
Exons: 2
Source: RefSeq, a predicted model, not a curated record
AGAAUUAAAAAAAAAGAAUUGGAAGUUGGUAGAGAAAAAAAUGGCUAGAAAUGUGAAAAUCACCCACCCUUCAACAAUUUCAUCGAGACUAAAGAGAGCAGGUGAAUAGCCAUUCCCAUUUUUAUCAUAUAGAGAUUAUAGAACCAAGGAAUAAUAUCCAUUUUGGAGAAAUGAAAAUAAAUAAAUAAAUAAAAAGAAGGAGAAAAAACCAUACUCGGUCUGCGUCGCUGUCGUAGGUUUGAAGUGAGCAUACAAAGACCAUGUGCUAGUCGGUUACAAGCCUUUUCACAAGAUGAUAAAAGAUGCAGUAACAUGAGGAGAGUCAACAAUGGAAGUCAUCUUGUUCGCGGUGAUUUUAAGCAAACGUUCGCUGGUUCUACGGGCCACUUACCAGCACCACUUAUACCCAUCAAAGCUGUGAGAACACCUUGUCUGAAAGCACCACUCACACCCAUGAGAAGCACCAGUUUAUCCUCAUGGAUACCCUGGUUUUCCAUUCCCUGAAAAUGGAACCUAGACAAAUGGGUCUUGUAUUUUAACACUAGUCAAAUCUGAAAGUUGAAAAACAAGCUUUAUCACUUUUAUGUUUCCUGUGGCAUGUCAACGGAGUAUGUGUUCUCAGCAAUAUCUUCAGUCCUAACAGAUGAGGAUCUGGAGGGACUAUUUCCAAUCUUUAUUUCUUGAUCUCCACUCUCUACCUAUCGAUUAGAAUUCAAUAACUCCAUAUGUAAGGUACCACACCUGAAAGCCAUUACAUUAGGUCACAUUUACAGAGCCGAAAGUAGUUGGGAGUUGAGAUCAAAAAAUUAAGAUUCGAAGUAGUCUUUCCAGGCUUUCAUCUGUUAAAGCUAUAUUGCUCAGAUCAAUUAUAACAGGAACACUGAAAUGAUCCUUCCAUUCGAACCGCAUUUCAUCACUGUUGAGGAUAUCGCCUACUCUGUUGACAUGCCAAAGGGAAUGAACAACCGGGGAUCCUUGAGGAUAAACUGGUGCUUCUCAAGGGUGAGUGGUGCUGCCGGUAAAACAACUCUUAUGGAUGUUCUGGCCGGUAGGAAAACUGGAGGCUAUAUGGACAAAACUAUCACAAUUUCUGGUCUCCCACGAACCAACAUAUUGCUUUCAGGUCGGGCGUUCUCACAGCUUUGAUGGGUGUAAGCGCUGCUGGUAAAACAACUCUUACGGAUGUUCGGGCUGGUGGGAAAAGUGGAGGCUAUAUUACAGUUCUGGUUUCCCUGUUAACCAACAAAUAAACAUUGGCUUGAAUUUCUGAUAAUGCAUGAACAUAUAUGCCGAAUAAAUAAAAGAAAACUAAACAGUGAAGCGAAUGGAGAAUAUUUCAUUGAUAUUCAAACCUACAAAACUUGUAAUUAUGUAUAAUUACGUCUGUAUGUAAAGGGAAUUACAAUAAAAAUGUCAAGGACCUCUAACGUAUGCUAACAACCAUUGUAUGCUAACAUCUGAUUCACAUGUGCAAUCAAACGUCAGCUUACAAGCAGACAUAUUGUUAAUCACUAAUUAAUUCCUCUCUUUAUUGCACCAAAAACUGUUAGUUUGAAAUAUAUAAUUCUCUUGUUAAUUUCACAAAUAUAUAAUAUGUUUCACUUCUCUUCAUCCUCUGAGU